This 1349-nucleotide long non-coding RNA is filed under the name Pectinophora gossypiella (pink bollworm). RNAcentral's name for it is "uncharacterized LOC126379649". The record is from RNAcentral. Lineage: Eukaryota; Metazoa; Arthropoda; Insecta; Lepidoptera; Gelechiidae.
CUUGUGGUUUCUGGAGAUAUAAUGUUGUUUCACAGAACACAGAUGGCGCUGCAGGGUUAUCGAUGGGCCCGAAUAUUUUUGAUUAUUUUAUUUUCUUCAAAAUUUGGUAUAUUUAAUUAUCUGCAACAUUUAUUGAAAUUAUAUUAUAUUUUAUUUAGGUUUCGGAUCAAACAAGUCGAUCGAUUAUUGUCGUUGAUUCGGCGAAUUUAUGGUUUGGUAGAUUUUUUCUAGUUUGGCAACUUUGUUCGUGGUUCUUGUGUCAGACUGACAGCUGGCUGAGCUGAGAGACAGGUUAUGGAAAGUGGGGACGUCGCGAGAGCGCCGGAGACUCCACUGCCGUAACAAUAAUGUGGGCAAAUUAAAAGCCACGAUUUAUCGGCGACAUCAAGAGCCGAUGUCUCCAUUUAUAUAAAUAACUUAACUGAGAUGCAACAUCACUGAAAUCCCAUCGCCUAAGGUCCAGUGGGUGGGUUUAGGUUUCAUCCGAGCGAUGCCCAACUAUCCCGGAUGAACCUAUGGGUUUUUUGUUUCCUUUAAGUUUUUAACGUUUUAAAGUUUCGAACGUUUUGCAAGUUUUAAUCUAAGAAGAAGUUUAUGAUUGGAUCAGACUAUUUCAACAAAUUUGGUGAAUGAAGAUUCCUACUGUUUUCUUCUGCAUUUGAGAGUUAUUUCAAGCUUCAUUUCGGCGGAGCUUGCCUUGGUUGUUUGCACGUCGAAGCUUUCCUUUGUGCGGCGCGCAUGUGGAUGUGCCGCGCCUCUCCUUUUGUCAACACACCGGAUAAGGCCCGGUGAAGGACUGCGAGGUUGACCGGUGGACGUGCAGCCCGCCAGCUGCGUAACAGUUGGCCCGCUGCGCCGCCAUCGUCCAGCACGCCCUGGCCUGAGCCGGCCUCAACUCAUCACCUGUACGGUAUUCCGGGACGCCUCAGGUAGGCCUGAUAGUCAGAGGUCCUCGAGUAAGUGAGGUGCCUACUAGGAGGACGGAAAGAUAUUUUAAGACCUAGUGAUAUCUUAUGGUCAUGUCACAGAGUGAUACUUUACCUAACGGCCCACUUCUCAUUAAUUGAAUUCUAUUCUAUUGGAAUUACAAAAAUCUUUUGUUUCAGUGGCGCCCUUCUUGGUGAAAUUGUCGCUUUGUACAACCAUUUUAGUAUAUAAGUGGUGUUGGCAUAAACUUUAAGAUAAAAAUUUUUUUUGAGAAAACAGUGUAUUUUUUUUUAUUAAAAAAAGUGAUGGGAUUUUGUGUGAAUUGUUUGUGUUUUGUUUGCAUCUUAGGUUAAGUUGUGUUUGUCUUAGCAUAAGUAAAGUUAUAGGCCUCCUAUUAGAGACCUAACUUAAUUACCUAUUUU